RNAcentral lists this ribosomal RNA (32 nucleotides) under Trebouxia jamesii. RNAcentral describes it as "partial 26S ribosomal RNA". Lineage: Eukaryota; Viridiplantae; Chlorophyta; Trebouxiophyceae; Trebouxiales; Trebouxiaceae. The record is from RNAcentral.
UGAGGUCAGGCAAGACCCCGCCUUUUGACCUA